UAAAUGCGAUAUGUAAUGUGAUACGCAAGUUGUAGUGAAUCAUUGAAAUCUUGAACGCAAAUUGCGCUUUCAAUUUAUGUUGAAAGCAUAUUUCAUUGAGGGUGGCAAUUGUUAAUAAUAAUAAAUGCGAAAGCAUUUUUUAUUUUGUUAUUGUGGAGUGAGAUGGGGUUUUUUUUUAUCUCUCCCAUUAAAAGAAUUAUUUAUAUAUAUUAUUUAUUAAAACAUAUAACAUAUAUCAUUUUAUUUUUAUUCCCCCACCUCAAGGAAAUAUGAAAUACCCGCUGAACUUAA
RNAcentral lists this unclassified non-coding RNA (291 nucleotides) under uncultured fungus. Its description in RNAcentral is "sequence contains ITS1". The stretch from base 1 to 105 matches the Rfam family "5.8S ribosomal RNA", at positions 50 to 154 of the family's 154-position model. The record is from RNAcentral. Lineage: Eukaryota; Fungi.